This is a non-coding RNA of Aphanomyces astaci, 124 nucleotides long. NCBI's taxonomy places the organism in Eukaryota, Oomycota, Saprolegniomycetes, Saprolegniales, Verrucalvaceae. The record is from Rfam.
AAAAAGGGUAGGCCUUUUCUGGGGCUGGACUGUCCGCAGUCACAGGUGAAUCGCGAUCAAGAGAUUUGCCCUACAGAAUUUCUUCACCGCUGGCAGUGUCGGCUCCAGGAGCUACCAUUGCCAG